Molecule: long non-coding RNA, 363 nt
Filed under: Fukomys damarensis (Damara mole-rat)
Lineage: Eukaryota; Metazoa; Chordata; Mammalia; Rodentia; Bathyergidae
Description: lncRNA (ENSFDAG00000027853.1)
Source: RNAcentral
CAUCUUUUCAUGUUGUUUCCUUAUCUCUGAUCUCAUAGGGACCUUUGUGAUUACAUGGAACCCACUGGGAUAAUCCAGAAUAAUCUCCCUAUUCAAGAUCCUUAAUUUAAUCAUACCUGCAAAAGUCCCUUUUGGCACAUAAAGUAACAUUUACAGGUUCCAAGAAUAAGUCAUAGGAUACCUUGGGGCAUUAUUCAGUCCUGCCACACCUGAGUUCGUCCUGCUUGCUCCUCCAGGGUAUGAAUUUGGAGACCUACUACUUUAGAUGCCAGCGUAAAGAGCCAGAGACUUAAAUCUUUGGCGAACACAUUGCCUGUUGAACACUAAAAAUUAAAGAUACACUGCCCUGGCUCACUCCUCACA